This 429-nucleotide ribosomal RNA is filed under the name uncultured Lysobacteraceae bacterium. RNAcentral describes it as "bacterial SSU rRNA". It matches the Rfam family "Bacterial small subunit ribosomal RNA", at positions 355 to 776 of the family's 1533-position model. Lineage: Bacteria; Pseudomonadati; Pseudomonadota; Gammaproteobacteria; Lysobacterales; Lysobacteraceae. The record is from RNAcentral.
UGGGGAAUAUUGGACAAUGGGCGCAAGCCUGAUCCAGCAAUGCCGCGUGGGUGAAGAAGGCCUUCGGGUUGUAAAGCCCUUUUGUACGGGAAGAAAAGCUCCGGGCUAAUACCUUGGGGUCAUGACGGUACCGUAAGAAUAAGCACCGGCUAACUUCGUGCCAGCAGCCGCGGUAAUACGAAGGGUGCAAGCGUUACUCGGAAUUACUGGGCGUAAAGCGUGCGUAGGCGGUUUGUUAAGUCAGAUGUGAAAGCCCCGGGCUCAACCUGGGAAUUGCAUUUGAAACUGGCGAGCUAGAGUGUGGUAGAGGGUGGUGGAAUUCCCGGUGUAGCAGUGAAAUGCGUAGAGAUCGGGAGGAACAUCUGUGGCGAAGGCGGCCACCUGGACCAACACUGACGCUGAGGCACGAAAGCGUGGGGAGCAAACAGG